AUAUUACUGAUGAGUCCCAACGAGGACGAAACACUUGUCCAAUAG
RNAcentral lists this non-coding RNA (45 nucleotides) under Echinostoma caproni. The record is from RNAcentral. Lineage: Eukaryota; Metazoa; Platyhelminthes; Trematoda; Plagiorchiida; Echinostomatidae.